AAUGAACGCUGGCGGAAUGCUUUACACAUGCAAGUCGAACGGCAACACGGGGGCAUCCCUGGUGGAGAGUGGCGAACGGAUGAGUAAUUCACCGGAACAUGCCCUGUCGAGGGGGAUAACGUAGCGUCAGGUACGCUAAUACCGCAUACGAUCAGAGGUUGAAACCCGGGGACCUUUGGGCCUCGCGCGAUUGGCGCGGCCGAUGUCAGAUUAGGUAGUUGGUGGGGUUACGGCCUACCAAGGCGACGAUCUGUAGCUGAUCUGAGAGGCCGACCAGCCACACUGGGACUGAGACACGGCCCAGACUCCUACGGGAGGCAGCAGUGGGGAAUUUUGGACAAUGGGCGCAAGCCUGAUCCAGCCACUCCGCGUGCAUGACGAAGGCCUUCGGGUUGUAAAAUGCUGUUGUACGGGACGAACAGGCGCUGGCUAAUACCUGGGGCUCAUGACGGUACCGUAAGAAUAAGCACCGGCUAACUACGUG
RNAcentral lists this ribosomal RNA (484 nucleotides) under uncultured bacterium. Its description in RNAcentral is "partial 16S ribosomal RNA". It matches the Rfam family "Bacterial small subunit ribosomal RNA", at positions 29 to 507 of the family's 1533-position model. The record is from RNAcentral.